AUACCUUUCUCGGCCUUUUGGCUAAGAUCAAGUGUAGUAUCUGUUCUUAUCAGUUUAAUAUCUGAUAUGUGAGUUAUUAACUCACACGAUAUUAACUCUAUUUUUUGAAGGGGAAGAGUCCAUUAAGGUAGCUUGCUAUCGGGGCCUUCAAGCGUUGCCUUGGUGUUGCACUAUUGCCUUGGCCUGGCGCACCCUAA
Solanum dulcamara is the source of this 197-nucleotide small nuclear RNA. RefSeq annotates it as U2 spliceosomal RNA. The record is from RefSeq and is a predicted model, not a curated record. Lineage: Eukaryota; Viridiplantae; Streptophyta; Magnoliopsida; Solanales; Solanaceae. The transcript has a single exon.